CCUACGGGUGACAGCAGUCGAGAAUCAUUCACAAUGGGGGAAACCCUGAUGGUGCGACGCCGCGUGGGGGAAUGAAGGUCUUCGGAUUGUAAACCCCUGUCAUGUGGGAGCAAAUUAAAAAGCUAGUCCCACAAGAGGAAGAGCCGGCUAACUCUGUGCCAGCAGCCGAGGUAAUACAGAGGUCUCAAGCGUUGUUCGGAAUCACUGGGCGUAAAGCGUGCGUAGGCUGUUUCGUAAGUCGUGUGUGAAAGGCGCGUGCUCAACCCGCGGACCGCACAUGAUACUGCGAGACUAGAGUAAUGGAGGGGGAACCGGAAUGCUCUGUGUAGCAGUGAAAUGCGUAGAUAUCGAGAGGAACACUCGUGGCGAAGGCGGGUUCCUGGACAUUAACUGACGCUGAGGCACGAAGGCCAGGGGAGCGAAAGGGAUUAGAUACCCGUGUAGUC
Molecule: ribosomal RNA, 446 nt
Filed under: uncultured bacterium
Lineage: Bacteria
Description: partial 16S ribosomal RNA
Rfam family: Bacterial small subunit ribosomal RNA
Source: RNAcentral